Molecule: ribosomal RNA, 632 nt
Filed under: Escherichia coli
Lineage: Bacteria; Pseudomonadati; Pseudomonadota; Gammaproteobacteria; Enterobacterales; Enterobacteriaceae
Description: partial 23S ribosomal RNA
Rfam family: Bacterial large subunit ribosomal RNA
Source: RNAcentral
GGGGGAACUGAAACAUCUAAGUACCCCGAGGAAAAGAAAUCAACCGAGAUUCCCCCAGUAGCGGCGAGCGAACGGGGAGCAGCCCAGAGCCUGAAUCAGUGUGUGUGUUAGUGGAAGCGUCUGGAAAGGCGCGCGAUACAGGGUGACAGCCCCGUACACAAAAAUGCACAUGCUGUGAGCUCGAUGAGUAGGGCGGGACACGUGGUAUCCUGUCUGAAUAUGGGGGGACCAUCCUCCAAGGCUAAAUACUCCUGACUGACCGAUAGUGAACCAGUACCGUGAGGGAAAGGCGAAAAGAACCCCGGCGAGGGGAGUGAAAAAGAACCUGAAACCGUGUACGUACAAGCAGUGGGAGCACGCUUAGGCGUGUGACUGCGUACCUUUUGUAUAAUGGGUCAGCGACUUAUAUUCUGUAGCAAGGUUAACCGAAUAGGGGAGCCGAAGGGAAACCGAGUCUUAACUGGGCGUUAAGUUGCAGGGUAUAGACCCGAAACCCGGUGAUCUAGCCAUGGGCAGGUUGAAGGUUGGGUAACACUAACUGGAGGACCGAACCGACUAAUGUUGAAAAAUUAGCGGAUGACUUGUGGCUGGGGGUGAAAGGCCAAUCAAACCGGGAGAUAGCUGGUUCUCCC